This 468-nucleotide ribosomal RNA is filed under the name uncultured bacterium. Its description in RNAcentral is "partial 16S ribosomal RNA". It matches the Rfam family "Bacterial small subunit ribosomal RNA", at positions 28 to 507 of the family's 1533-position model. The record is from RNAcentral.
GACGAACGCUGGCGGCGUGCUUAACACAUGCAAGUCGAACGGAAAGACCCUGCUUUUGUGGGGUGCUCGAGUGGCGAACGGGUGAGUAACACGUGAGUAACCUGCCCUUGACUUUGGGAUAACUUCAGGAAACUGGGGCUAAUACCGGAUAGGAGCUCCUGCUGCAUGGUGGGGGUUGGAAAGUUUCGGCGGUUGGGGAUGGACUCGCGGCUUAUCAGCUUGUUGGUGGGGUAGUGUCUUACCAAGGCUUUGACGGGUAGCCGGCCUGAGAGGGUGACCGGCCACAUUGGGACUGAGAUACGGCCCAGACUCCUACGGGAGGCAGCAGUGGGGAAUAUUGCACAAUGGGCGGAAGCCUGAUGCAGCAACGCCGCGUGCGGGAUGACGGCCUUCGGGUUGUAAACCGCUUUCGCCUGUGACGAAGCGUGAGUGACGGUAAUGGGUAAAGAAGCACCGGCUAACUACGUG